UACGGGGGGGGCGAGCGUUGUUCGGAAUUACUGGGCGUAAAGGGCGCGUAGGCGGUCUGCUAAGUUGGAUGUGAAAACUCUGGGCUUAACCCAGAGCCUGCAUUCAAUACUGACAGGCUAGAGUUCUGGAGGGGAUAGCGGAAUUCCUGGUGUAGCGGUGAAAUGCGUAGAUAUCAGGAGGAACACCGGUGGCGAAGGCGGCUAUCUGGACAGAAACUGACGCUGAGGCGCGAAAGCUAGGGGAGCAAACAGG
Molecule: ribosomal RNA, 253 nt
Filed under: uncultured bacterium
Lineage: Bacteria
Description: partial 16S ribosomal RNA
Rfam family: Bacterial small subunit ribosomal RNA
Source: RNAcentral